This 248-nucleotide unclassified non-coding RNA is filed under the name Hevea brasiliensis (rubber tree). The record is from RNAcentral. Lineage: Eukaryota; Viridiplantae; Streptophyta; Magnoliopsida; Malpighiales; Euphorbiaceae.
GAAAAAUGCAUGCCGCAAUAUUACUGCAUACCAGUUUCUGAUCACACUGUAUGGUCGUGUUGGAACUUUGCUUGAAGUAUAUCGUGUAUGGCGUUCUUUGAGGCUUGCUUUUCCCAGAACAGCAAACAUAAGCUAUCUUAACAUGAUCCAAGUUUUAGUAAAUUUGAAUGACUUACCAGGUGCUGAGAAAUGUUUCAAGGAAUGGGAGUCUGGAUGCCCAACUUAUGACAUACGUAUAGCAAAUGUUC